AAGUCGUAACAAGGUUUCCGUAGGUGCUGCAGCCUCUCCAGGUUCGCCUACGUCGGCCCCGGGCGACUCUAAAAACCCGCCCAGUCGGCCACCCUACCGUGGCUGGCCACGCAGUUAUUCUGGCUUGGAGGUGCCUCGGCGCCCACCAGCAGCUCCCGCUUCGGCACGGAGUUCACAGAUCAAAUGCCUGCGGCCACUCCGUGGUUUCGAUAUGACCGACCGCCGCCCGCAACGGGCUGGCGUUUCUGUGGAACCUGCGGAAGGAUCAUUACCGAGAGACGGGGUCCAACCGACCCCAAUCUUCACCCGUGUCUACCUACCUGUGUUGCUUUGGCGGGCCCCAGGGUCCCUGGCCCUGCGCCGGUCGGCGGCCUUACGUGCCUUUUCCCGGCGAGCGUCCGCCAAAGGCUCUGCAAACUCUUGUUUUAGUGUUGUCCGAGCGAAAAACCAAAUAGUUAAAACUUUCAACAACGGAUCUCUUGGUUCUG
RNAcentral lists this unclassified non-coding RNA (488 nucleotides) under air metagenome. RNAcentral's name for it is "partial contains small subunit ribosomal RNA, internal transcribed spacer 1, and 5.8S ribosomal RNA". The record is from RNAcentral.